Molecule: ribosomal RNA, 359 nt
Filed under: uncultured bacterium
Lineage: Bacteria
Description: bacterial SSU rRNA
Rfam family: Bacterial small subunit ribosomal RNA
Source: RNAcentral
AACGAACGCUGGCGGCAGGCCUAACACAUGCAAGUCGAACGAACCUUCGGGUUAGUGGCGCACGGGUGCGUAACACGUGGGAAUAUACAUUUCGGUAAGGAAUAACACAGAGAAAUUUGUGCUAAUACCUUAUAAUGACUCCGGUCCAAAGAUUUAUCGCCGAAAGGAUUAGCCCGNGCUAGAUUAGUUUGUUGGUGAGGUAAGAGCUCACCAAGACUACGAUCUAUAGCUGGUCUUAGAGGAUGAUCAGCCACACUGGAACUGAGACACGGUCCAGACUCCUACGGGAGGCAGCAGUGAGGAAUAUUGGACAAUGGGGGCAACCCUGAUCCAGCCAUGCCGCGUGAAUGAAGAAGGCC